RNAcentral lists this small RNA (232 nucleotides) under Sorex araneus (European shrew). RNAcentral's name for it is "7SK RNA (ENSSARG00000019614.1)". The stretch from base 1 to 174 matches the Rfam family "7SK RNA". Rfam says of the family: 7SK was discovered as an abundant small nuclear RNA in the mid-70s but a possible function has only recently been suggested. Two independent studies have found that 7SK RNA binds the CDK9/cyclin T complex (known as elongation factor P-TEFb). P-TEFb activates transcription by phosphorylating the C-terminal domain of RNA polymerase II. The record is from RNAcentral. Lineage: Eukaryota; Metazoa; Chordata; Mammalia; Eulipotyphla; Soricidae.
GAAUGUGGGUUUGACAAGUUGUGACAACUAUCAUCUCUCUGAUAAUCAGGGUUGAUUUGGUCUAAUCUGGCUAUCUAGGUGGGUGUUCCCUUCUUCCUUCACUGCUUCACGUGCAUCCCUUUAGAAGUUGCUCAAAUUAAAAAGGACCUUUCUUUGGUCCAGGGUAUAGGACGAGCCUGCACAUAUACGUCAGUGCAAGCUCUCAAAGGGUUUGAAUCAUUGGCUUAUCCAC